AUCAGGUGGGUAUAACGGCAAAUCCUGAAAUAUCACACAACAUCCCAAACAUAUAUAUUCUCAUAAAGCCCUAGCGUCCAAACGGGCACCCCGUGCCCAUUUGUCCGCUUUUUUUAAUAUUCACACGUGUCAAAAUAUAAACGUGUAUUUUUUAUUUAAUUUUGAUUUUAAUAUAAAUUGUUUUUGUAAAAAACUUUGUGAUAUGAUUUAUCUCCUCUCUCUCUCUCUCUCUCUCUCUCUCUCUCUCUUCCUUCACAAUUUAAGAACAUUAAUAAAAAAAUUAUAUAAAAGUAUCAAAUAUAUUAAAUUUCAUAGAUAUUUUUUUUGUGAUUAAAUUAAAUAGACAUACUAUCAUUUUAAUUUUCUGUUCUAUUAAUUAAACUUUGAUUCACAUUGAUUGAUGUUAUAAGGAUGCAGUAAUGGAUACAUUGCAUAUACUAAAAUAUGCAUUUCAAUUCCAGUAGGCCUAACAUUAUUUUUGACUUUUCCAUUUGAUUUCAUUGAAAUGAUUUUUACACUAUAAUUGAAAAUAUUGAAAAAUAAAUAUAUGAAAAAUGCAACCAAAGUUGGGGAAAAAAUCUAAAUUAAGUUGAAAUAUUAUAAAGAAAAAAGAAAAGAUAGAAAGUGACAACCCUACAAUUCUUUAGUCAUUAUCUAGAAAGUAUUCUCUUAUCAAAAGUUUACAACACAACAACAAUAACGUUGUUACUUCACUUUUGAUUUUCCAAAUGAGAAAAUUGUCCUUUUAUAUGGAGAAAGGAAAGUAAUAUAAAACAAAACUCCAAAAUUUUAUUGAAACCUCACUCUGUUGUAACUUGUAUUGUGGUUCCUAAAAUACUCUUAUAUCACCAUCAAACAUAAAGCUACACCAAAAUGCUUAAACUAUAACUAUAUAUAUACUUUCACCAAACUCAUUAAAAACUCUAUAUUUAGUAUUUACCAUCAGAAAAGAAAAACUAAACAAAUAAAAGAGUUUGAUUCAAUAGCAGGUAAACGAAAUAUUCAUAUUUAUAGCAUUAUGUUCACAACUAAAUGUUAAUCUUUACUGUCAAGAAUAAAAAAGUUAAUAUAGAUUUGGAAAAAAAAUUUAUAUGUGUAAUUGCAAGAGAAAAUAUUGUGUUUAAGUUGAAUAGAGAGACAAAAUUUGACAUAUUUCAAUUCAAGUUAGAUGCUGUUUAGAAAAUGGGAAGUGAGAAACACUCCAAAUUCAUCUUUGGGUCCAUAUUGAACCUUUAUGAUUUUUGGAAUGAGAGAAUCUUUGUUAUUAACAACAUCUAUAUACCAAAGAUAAAUUUGAUUAUGAAUAACACAGUUUGUAAAAAUGUAAAGAAAUAAUCUCCCAUAUGCAAGCUCCGGAAUAGAAAAACCAUUAUCAAAACAGAGGUUAAAAAUAUUCUUAUUAUUAAAAGAAGAAAUAUAAUCAAAAUACAAAUGAAAUAAAAGAGACUACAGAAUAUGUAAAAGAAAAUCUCACUGUCACCAUGAAUGACAUUUUCUGAGUCAGUAGUAUAUGCACCAUGCUUUUGCGUUGGUGUUCAUCUCCACCAUGGGACAGGCCUACAAAAACCUAUAUGUUUCUUGUCAAAGACUCGCCCUUCGAUCGCAUAUCAUACCUUUGCAACCGACUCUCUAUCACCUUACAAAUUUCCCCAUUAAUAAGUUUAAUGAAUAUAUUAUGGAAGAGAAUGGUGAAAAAAAGUUAUAAUUGAAUAUGGAUAAGGAGGAACCUUCAUAUGAAAGCUCUUAAAGUUUAAAUUUUUCUUUUGUGGGAUGAAGAUAGAAUAAAUUUUAAUUUCAAAGCAUUGAGAGCCGCCGAGAGGAUGAUGAGUAGUUGAGAGAAUGAAAUCAUGACUUCCAAAAGGAUGAUGAGCGGUUGAGCAAAUAAAAUUGUAACUGUCAAGAGAAUGAUGGUCGGUUGAGAGAAUGAAACCAAGAAAUUAUGUAGCGGUUAAUUGAUCUCAAAUGUACAUGAAGGUUGGUUUUAUUAUGUGGUGAUGAGUAGAAAAAUAAAAUAUAAAAACAGUUUUCUCUGUAAUGAUAAAUUUAUAAAGACAAAGAGGAAGUUAAAAGGUAAUUUUGUCAUAAAGGAUAAUUUUGUCAUAAAACAGUUUUCUCUGUAAUGAUAAAUUUAUAAAUCCAAAGAGGAAGUUAAAGGGUAAUUUUUUCAUUUAAGGAUACAUAUCACAUUCAUUCGUUAAUCAUACACUAACACAACACACAAAACAAAAUUCAUCUUUCUUCCUUUAUUUUUUUCUUAAUUUUUUUUAUUAUUCAUUUCCAAACCCUAAUUUUAAUUUCCCCAUUUUUUAUCCAAUUUUCCAUUAUUGUUUUGGAUCUAGGUGCUCCCUCACUUCCUCCUUAUAUAAGAGUUUCCAUUUCACUUUAAAUCCAAAUAAAUUUAAAUUCAUUUUUAACUUCACCCUGUGUUUCAACAUUUGAUCACAAUAAUAAUACCUUUGUUACCAUAAAAUUGAAAAGACAUAAAAGCAAAUUUAAAAAGGAUUAUUGAGGCAGUUUUUCUACAAAGACAACUUUCUCUCUCGGGUAGUGUUCACUUCCACCAAAAUUGCACAUAAUAAAAAGAAUAAAUAAAUAAAUUAAAAGUAACAAAAAGGAUAAGACAAAUUCAAAACUAAAUUGAGCAAACACGUACACAUUUCAACAUCAAAAUAAUUAAUUAAAAUACCAUGACAUUAGAAGAAUGAAAGUGAUGAUAAAGGUUGAAACCAUAUGGAAGACAAAAAUAAAAAAGGUUGAAACCAUAAUAUGAAAGACAAAAUAAAAAAUGAAAAAAAAUAGAUGAGAGAAGAAUUGACAGUUCCAUAUAAUAGAAUGAAAAAAAUUCAACAAAAAAAAUAGUAUGUUGAUUAAGAAAGAUA
Molecule: long non-coding RNA, 2879 nt
Filed under: Lathyrus oleraceus (garden pea)
Lineage: Eukaryota; Viridiplantae; Streptophyta; Magnoliopsida; Fabales; Fabaceae
Description: Pisum sativum (pea) long non-coding RNA (PSAT_LNC009488)
Source: RNAcentral